GAGUUGACAAAAUGUUUUCGAGGAUGUUGCGAAAGCCGAAACGUUUCCCGCUUGCAAUGUUUCAAUAUCUGGCAAAAGUGUAACCUCCCAGAGGAUACCCCCUGAUUUGAAGGAGAAUCAGAAGAAAACCGUUACAUCAUUUCCACCGCUGUCAGAACCUAUUCCGAAUUUGCCGAAAGUUGUUUAUUCGACUGCGAAAGAGGAGCAUCAAACGACGCAGAUCACAGUCUUACCAAACGGCUUGAAAGUCGCGUCUGAAAAUAGCUUACGCAGACACUGGUUUAUUUUGUAUUUACGCCUCAUGCACACCGUCCCAUGUGAAGGAAAUGGUAGAAGUAAUUGUGCACGAGAUGGUCGCCAUGACGAGCGGAUUUUUGGAUAACGAAUUAGCGUUAACGAUAAUAGUAGUGAAGAUGAGGAAGAAGAUCUUGUAUCUGACAAUAUCAGAACUAAAGUAAAAGUACUUUUGAAUAAUAAAAAACAACUAUCUUCUUCACAAGAUGGUAAGUUGAAUAUG
Long non-coding RNA from Temnothorax curvispinosus, 517 nucleotides. RefSeq lists it as uncharacterized. NCBI's taxonomy places the organism in Eukaryota, Metazoa, Arthropoda, Insecta, Hymenoptera, Formicidae. The transcript has 3 exons. The record is from RefSeq and is a predicted model, not a curated record.